AUUGAACGCUGGCGGCAGGCCUAACACAUGCAAGUCGAGCGGCAGCGGGAAAGUAGCUUGCUACUUUUGCCGGCGAGCGGCGGACGGGUGAGUAAUGCCUGGGAAAUUGCCCAGUCGAGGGGGAUAACAGUUGGAAACGACUGCUAAUACCGCAUACGCCCUACGGGGGAAAGCAGGGGACCUUCGGGCCUUGCGCGAUUGGAUAUGCCCAGGUGGGAUUAGCUAGUUGGUGAGGUAAUGCUCACCAAGGCGACGAUCCCUAGCUGGUCUGCGAGGAUGAUCAGCCGCACUGGAACUGAGACACGGUCCAGACUCCUACGGGAGGCAGCAGUUGGGAAUAUUGCACAAUGGGGGAAACCCUGAUGCAGCCAUGCCGCGUGUGUGAAGAAGGCCUUCGGGUUGUAAAGCACUUUCAGCGAGGAGGAAAGGUUGAUGCCUAAUACGUAUCAACUGUGACGUUACUCGCAGAAGAAGCACCGGCUAACUCCGUGCCAGCAGCCGCGGUAA
RNAcentral lists this ribosomal RNA (507 nucleotides) under uncultured bacterium. RNAcentral's name for it is "partial 16S ribosomal RNA". It matches the Rfam family "Bacterial small subunit ribosomal RNA", at positions 30 to 523 of the family's 1533-position model. The record is from RNAcentral.